RNAcentral lists this long non-coding RNA (2194 nucleotides) under Homo sapiens (human). Its description in RNAcentral is "HSALNT0103742". Lineage: Eukaryota; Metazoa; Chordata; Mammalia; Primates; Hominidae. The record is from RNAcentral.
GGGAUAUGGGAGGUGUGGGGUUGAAUAUCUAGGGCUGGGAGAAUCGGAAGGUAUUGGAGCUAUUUGGAGUGGCAGAGAUGGUGCAGGAGGCAGGUCAAGGAACUUGUAAUAGGGAGGUACAGUUAGGAUAUAGGUGUUGCUGCUUGGGGUGGUUAUGUGUGUAAGUAAUAAACGAAAGGGAAAUUGAGGAUUAAGGAGCCAGGAAGAUGUUGGGAGGAAAUCAAAGGUAGUGUAAGAAAGCAUGGUUGGAGGCCAACUUAUCAAUAUUAUCAAUAUUGAUAUUCGAAUAAAUAUUUAUUGAAUGGAUGAAUGUAAAAGGAAGUGGCAGGAAUGAGGAAACAAGAAAAGGAGAUGAAAAGAGGUAUUUUGAGAAAUCAGAGAGCAAAGAUGUAAAUGGAGAAACAAGAAGUAUUUAUCCAAAAACAUGUUAAGUUGCCUUCAAAGGGAGAAGGUUGCAUUGGGCUUAAUACUCUUGGAUUAAAGGAAGUUUAGUAAUUAAUAGAUUAGUAAUACUUGCUACUAGAGAUGCCAGGAUGCCAGAGAAUAGGUGGAUAAGAGGUAGGGAGGGCUGGAGCUUGAGAAUGAGAGAGGUUUUGUUUGUUUUUUUAAGAGAAAAAGAAUAGGGGAUCUGGAAAAAGGAAGGGAGAUCAAAGAUUAGGUGCUGGGGACUGAAAAAUAAUUUUCAUGUAUUAAUACUACCAAGGAUGAUUUGGGGAGGAAGACGGAGAAACAGCAAGGAUUAUAUUUUCCUUUGAAGAGUUGCUGGGACCUUUCCUAGGUUAGGAAUUGUGUCUUCUCUUAUACUGGUGGUAUAAGAACAGGAAAUAAUACUUAUUCCUCAAGGGACUAUCUGAGGAGAACCGGAGCCUUACCAUCAAACUUCGGAAACGGAAGCCAGAGAAAAAGGUAGAAUGGACAAGUGACACUGUGGACAAUGAACACAUGGGCCGCCGCUCAUCCAAAUGCUGCUGUAUUUAUGAGAAACCUCGGGCCUUUGGCGAGAGCUCCACGGAAAGUGAUGAGGAGGAAGAAGAGGGCUGUGGUCAUACACACUGUGUACGUGGCCACCGCAAAGGACGGCGUCGUGCAACCCUAGGACCGACCCCCACCACCCCUCCCCAGCCUCCUGACCCUUCCCAGCCCCCUCCAGGGCCAAUGCAGCACUAAAUCCCUCUCUCCUCCAGCAUUCCUGUGUCUGUCUGGCCCUAAAUGUAUCCAUGUGGCUACUUCUCCAGCCCCCUCCUUCCCUCUCUUCUGCCUGAUAGAGGGAAGAGGAAGAGGAGGACGAACAGAGAUCCUGAAAUUCUGACUUGCUGCUAUUCCAGAACCCAGCCUCCUGGGUUUCCCCAGUCCUCAUUUUUCCUCCCAAUACCCACCCUUCUCUCUCGAGGGAUCUAGGCACCUUGGUCCCAGUGUCUUCCUUUUGUUCUCACUGCCAAACUGCCUGUCCUGGGAUCUAGUUAUCUUGGCCCUGCACUCUCAACAUGAGUAGCGAACACUUAAAUUGGGUUUUCAACAGUCCCAGCUUUCACUGCCAGGGUCCCAGUCAGAUUCCAGGAAUUUGCGCCCUAACUUUGCUUGCUAAUCCUGGUUUAGAGCUAUCCCACUAAAAUAUUUAAUCCUAAUUCUUAGUCCUUGCCUGUGAGAUAUGAGGUCUUACAGGAGACCUCAGAGCUCCCAGCCCUUCUCCUCCUGCUAACCCUUCUCACACCCUCAAGAGGAGUUAGAAAAGAGGUCCUUGUCAUUCUCACCUCUUAUGGAAAAUGGAAUAAGAAAUAAUCAUAUCCUUUCUUCCCACCCUUCUCCUGUUAUUUAGGAUUUCUGACAAAGCUGGCUUGAGAUUGGUCACUUAGAGCCGACUGUCUCCUCUGCCUUUUGUUUUUCAGCUUCAGAGACAGAUCCAAUAUAGUCCCAGGGACCUGGGUCUCUGGGAGAGGAAGGAAGAGGGAGGGAGCAAAGAGAUUGGGGUAUGUCCCCUGUAGUACACUCUUACCUCUUACUUCCUAGACUUUGAUUUCUCCGGCAGCCCAGAUGUUCAGUUCUCUUGGCCCCUCUCUACCCCUUACUGGGAUCCGGUUUUCAUUUUCCGGUCCUUUUGCCAUACACAGUUACAGAGAUCAGUCAAAUCCAUACCACCACUGAGAUCUCAUUUAUUGCCACAGAUGCACAAAAUAAAUAACCCAAAAUCACAAAA